UACGGGGGGGGUAAGCGUUGUUCGGAAUUACUGGGCGUAAAGGGCUCGUAGGCGGCCAACUAAGUCAUACGUGAAAUCCCUCAGCUUAACCGGGGAACUGCAUCUGAUACUGGAUGGCUUGAGAUUGGGAGAGGGAUGCGGAAUUCCAGGUGUAGCGGUGAAAUGCGUAGAUAUCUGGAGGAACACCGGUGGCGAAGGCGGCAUCCUGGACCGGCAUUGACGCUGAGGCGCGAAAGCCAGGGGAGCAAACGGG
RNAcentral lists this ribosomal RNA (253 nucleotides) under uncultured bacterium. RNAcentral describes it as "partial 16S ribosomal RNA". It matches the Rfam family "Bacterial small subunit ribosomal RNA", at positions 524 to 776 of the family's 1533-position model. The record is from RNAcentral.